GGUUGAUCCUGCCGGACCCGACUGCUAUCAGAGUGGGACUAAGCCAUGCGAGUCAACGUAGCAAUGCGUGGCGAACGGCUCAGUAACACGUAGUCAACAUGCCCAGGGGACGUGGAUAACCUCGGGAAACUGAGAUUAAACCGCGAUAGGUCAAGAUUUCUGGAAUGGAUCCUGGCUUAAAUCUACAUGGCCCCUGGAUUGGACUGCGGCCGAUCAGGCUGUUGGUGAGGUAAUGGCCCACCAAACCUAUAACCGGUACGGGCUCUGAGAGGAGAAGCCCGGAGAUGGGCACUGAGACAAGGGCCCAGGCCCUAUGGGGCGCAGCAGGCGCGAAAACUCUGCAAUGGGCGAAAGCCUGACAGGGUUACUCUGAGUGAUUUCCGCUAAGGAGAUCUUUUGGCAGCUCUAAAAAUGGUGCAGAAUAAGGGGUGGGCAAGUCUGGUGUCAGCCGCCGCGGUAAUACCAGCACCCCGAGUGGUCGGGACGAUUAUUGGGCCUAAAGCAUCCGUAGCCGGUUGUGCAAGUCCUCCGUUAAAUCCAGCCGCUCAACGGAUGGGCUGCGGAGGAUACUACAGAACUAGGAGGCGGGAGAGGCAAGCGGUACUUAGUGGGUAGGGGUAAAAUCCUUUGAUCCAUUGAAGACCACCAGUGGCGAAGGCGGCUUGCCAGAACGCGCUCGACGGUGAGGGAUGAAAGCUGGGGGAGCAAACCGGAUUAGAUACCCGGGUAGUCCCAGCUGUAAACGAUGCAGACUCGGUGAUGGGCUAGCCUCGUGUCAGCCCAGUGCCGCAGGGAAGCCGUUAAGUCUGCCGCCUGGGGAGUACGGUCGCAAGACUGAAACUUAAAGGAAUUGGCGGGGGAGCACCACAAGGGGUGAAGCCUGCGGGUCNAUUUGGAGUCACGC
Molecule: ribosomal RNA, 904 nt
Filed under: uncultured archaeon
Lineage: Archaea
Description: bacterial SSU rRNA
Rfam family: Archaeal small subunit ribosomal RNA
Source: RNAcentral